GUGGGCACCUUGGAACUCUGACAGGCAGGAAACAGAGUUGGGCAAGUGGCACCAUCAGUUCCUGGAGCUCCUGCAGGGAACCUGAACGUGUGUUUUUCCGGCUGUGGAGAAAACAAACCCCUGUGAUUUUGAGCCCCUUUUUCGGGAGCGAUGAUGUCGCAGCUUGAGGGGGAGUGUGGAUCUGCUGGAAGGCAGGAGGGCUCUGCAGAGGGACCUGCACAGGCUGGAUCCAUGGGCUCAUUCCAACGGGAUGAGGUUCCACAAGGCCAAGGGCCAAGGGCCAGGUCCUGCCCUUUGGCCACAACAACCCCAGACUGGCACAGAGGGGCUGGAGAGCAGCCAGGCAGGAAGGGAGCUGGGAGUGGGGAUGGACAGGGAGCUGAACAGGAGCCAGAGUGUGCCCAGGGGGACAAGAGGGCCAAUGGAUCCUGGCCUGGCUCAGGAACAGGGUGGCAGCAGGAGCAGGGAAGUGAUUCUGCCCCUGGACUCAGCACUGGUGAGGCCACCCCUGGAGUGCUGUGUCCAGCUCUGGGCCCUCAGCUCAGGAAGGACAUGGAGGGGCUGGAGCAGGUCCAGAGAAGAGCAACGAGGCUGGGGAAGGGACUGGAGCACAAGUGCUGUGAGGAGAGGCUGAGGGAGCUGGGGGGGCUCAGCCUGGAGAGGAGGAGGCUCAGGGGAGACCUCCUGACUCUGCAACUCCCUGACAGGAGGGGGGAGCCAGGUGGGGAUGGGGCUCUUCUCCCAGGAACCAGCAGUAGGACAAGAGGGCUGGGUCUUCAGCUGUGCCAGGGGAGGCUUAGGUUGGAUAUGGAAGGAAUUCUUUCCAUGAAGACUGAUCAGCCCUUGGAAUGGGCUGCCCAGGGAGGGGGUGGAGUCACUUCCCUGGAGGUGUUUAAGGACAGACUGGAUGUGGCAUCAGUGCCAUGGGCUGGGAACCACGGCGGGGUUGGAUCCAGGGUUGGACUUGCUGAUCUCAGAGGUCCUUUCCAACCCAGCUGAUUCUCUGAUGAGAGCUGAAUGCCAUGAGCUUUACCGGUGAGGGAGUCACUUUGGCAGGAGAACCAGCUCAGCCAAACCACAGCUUUGCCC
RNAcentral lists this long non-coding RNA (1089 nucleotides) under Manacus vitellinus (golden-collared manakin). Its description in RNAcentral is "lncRNA (ENSMVIG00005010458.1)". Lineage: Eukaryota; Metazoa; Chordata; Aves; Passeriformes; Pipridae. The record is from RNAcentral.